This is a long non-coding RNA of Astatotilapia calliptera (eastern happy), 3239 nucleotides long. Lineage: Eukaryota; Metazoa; Chordata; Actinopteri; Cichliformes; Cichlidae. The record is from Ensembl.
GAAAGAGCUGCUGGAGUAAUAUGGCGCCCGGCACCUACUAAACGUUGUUGCCCCGCUCUUUUUACUCGGAAGUUGAUUUAUCAUACAGCAAAAAGUCACCGUCAGUGUUUCUUUGCGUGUUCAGUCUUUCUCAGUGAGUCUUUCUCUCCAGAAAAAAAAAACGCUUUUAGCUCGUUUUUUAUUUUAACUUUGUCUCAAACGACACCGUCGCCUAUAGCACGGAAAUGUCCGAAGUGGAAGUAAUAAAGCUGCUGGUGAAUCAGCGGCUGACUGCAGUGGCUGAAGAGAUAGUGGGACUGUUUGAGAAAACCUUUGCAGAGUACCGAGACAAUGUGGCUCGCUUGGUGGAGGAAACAGAGCGACAGCGCAGGCUGCUGGAAUCCGUAAAAACCCCGGGAGCUCCCUCACCACACACAGAAUCCUUGGUGGGGGAAACAGAGCGACAGCACAGGCUGCUGGAAUCUGUAAACACCCCGGGAGCUCCCUCACCACACACAGAAUCCCAGCCGGCGUUGGAAAUAGACACAGCACCGAAACAACAAACUUUGGGAGUGAGCUUGAACCAUGAGCACAUAGGUGCUCGCUACAUCAAAGAGGAACAGGAAGAAAUGUGGAGUAGCCAUGAGGGAGAGCAACUUCAAGGAGUGGAGACGUUCUCUUUUGGCUUUAUCCCUUUAAAGACUGAGAGCCGAGAGGAGUCGGAGGUCAGCUCUCCAUACCUUGUGAAAUUGUUACGUGGAGACUAUCAGCCGCAGCAGAAGUGUAAUGAAGAGGUUCCGUCUCAGGAGCACGAGUGGAGACCUGCUCUGAAAGAGGAGCCUGAAUGCUCACAAACUGAAGUUGAACAGGAGGAACUCAGGAGAAGCCAGAGAGAGACACGUAUAGGACUGGGAGAGAAUUCAGUCACAGAGUUGCCAUUCAUUGCUGUAAAGAGGGAGGCUGAUGAAGAGGAAGCUUUGUCGGCUCAGCUUCACAACAACGCAGAGUCUUCAGACUGCCAGUCCACUGAACAUAUGCAAGUAGAGAGUGAUGGUGACGACAGUGGAGGAGCAGAACCACUGACCGAAGCAGCUAGUGACAAGACUUCCGACUCUUCAGACAGUGAGACUGAAGACAGCGAUGAUGACUGGAAAAGAAUAAAUACAAAGCAGUCCCAUUUUAAAGUAAUGAUAGGUAAUAGAGUUGCUAACUCACAACCUGUCCAGACAUUAGAUCCAACUUCAGUUAGUGAUGAGAAGACUUCUGAUUCAUCUGAAACUGAGACUGAGGACAGUGAUAAUGAUUUGAUGGAUAGCGAUAAAUCUAAGAAAGGUUCAACUAGUGUUACAUUUAAACAUGCUCUUGUUGCAAGUUCUUCAAAAAUGCAUACUGAGAAGAAAUCUAACUGUAGGCAGCAACUGAAUAAUCACACAGGUACACAAACAGCACAGAUUUCUAUCCAGGGUUCACAACUUGUUCUUCACAAAGCAAACUCAGGUAUGAGAACCAGUUCUACAGAACGACUUUUAAGCGACUCCAAGAAACGUGAAGAAAGUGCAUCUCCGAAGGCACAGAACACCAAGGACAAAUGCUUCACAUGUUCAAGUUGUAAUAAAAGUUUCCAAAGGAAAACACACCUGAUUCAACAUAUGAAAAUGCAUAAAGAGAAUCCUAACAUUAGUGGUGUAAACAAGCCAGUGUAGUAUCCAGGAAUGGCUUGUUUCAUUUUGUCCUUUUGUUAUCCAGGAACACUGUUAACCUUUUUCUUACUGUUAAGUGAAUGGCAUUCCAGCUAAUGAUAACCAACUAUCUACAGAAUUUUCAGAAAUAAAAUAUUUUUUUAUUUUUGUUUUUUAAUGGACCCAAAGGUCAAUAAAAUGUAAAAAAUGUUACAAAGACAAAUGCAAAGCUACUGGUACUUUUUUUUGUAAUCGCUGAGGCUGCAAAACCUGCCCAUUCAAUUGCUCAUUAGGAAGUUCACUCUGUUUUUAAGCUCGUCUGCACAGAGGACCAAUGAGCUUAUUCCAUGUUUUGUUCUUUUUUUCUUUUUUUUUUGUACAUCUUCUGUCUAAAUUAAAUGUGUCAAAAGUUUGUGAGUGGUUUAAAUAGAAUAGACACAAGUCAUUUUACUAGGUACUGCUGUUCAACUGCUUCCUAACAUAAAUGUUAGCCACGGCUUUCUUUACAUUCUUUUAAUGCUUGUUUGUUGAAAAUGCUAGGGCACCGCUGAAGUUCAAACUGAGAAUCAGAGUCGGGGGGGACUUUUCCAGGCAAAAAUGCCUGUGACGUCAGAGAACAAUGGCCAGUUUUAAUUUGAUUGGAAAGUAACAGAAAAUCAAACACUUCGAAUAAAGGUAUGGAGAAGAGCAUAUCUGGAUGCACUACACAUCCAACCUUGAAGCAGAUGGGCUACAGCUGCAAAAGACCACAACACCUACCACUCCUAUCAACCAGAAACGAGAAACCGUGGCUACAGGAUUUUAAAAAGCGGACAAUAGAAGUUUGGAAAACAUUGCCUGGUCUGAUGGAUCUCAAUAUCUGCAAGGUGUAUGUAAUAAAGCGUCAAGAGUAUUUGCCCAUUAGAUAGAUAGAUGGUAGCUCUUUUACAGGAUGGUAUCACUUUGCUGAAAUGGUUUGGGUCCACUUGUCAUUUGACACAUUAACAUUACUAUAGUUUUGUACUGACCUUUUUAUUUUGUAGUGAUAAUCUUUAUCCUAUGCGAAAACAUUAUUCUCCAGACGACAGUGGUGUCUUUCCAGGUGAUGAUGCACCUCACGUGGUUUAUGGAGUGUAGAAAUAUGGGUCAUGUGCUAUGGCUAUUGGAAUCACAGAUGUAAUUUCAGCUGAGCAUAUUGGAAGGAUUUGAACUGAAAUGUUAGACUACUACCCACAACUGUUGACUGUUUUCCCCUUUAAUUUGUCACCACUUCAUAGGAGACCUGAUUGUAAAUAAAUGUGCCUAUAAAGCACUUUGGGUCACUUUGGUGUCUUUUGAUGUUGAAGGAAACUGUACUCACUGACACAUUGACUUUCUUUACAAUUUCUUUAUAGGAAACACCUACAUUUUUAAGUGUGUUACAAGAUAAAUAUAUAUUCUUAGUGCUUAUUUUGUGAUUAUAUUGUUUUUUGUACUUUGUAAAUGACCCUGUGCACGAGGAAAUGCUAACUUCCUGGUUUGAGACCGGAUGUGGGGUUGUACAUUUCCGGUAGCUUUACUUUGCGGUCAAUCGCUACUGCAAAGAUAUACCCCAAAAUCAUG